UCCCUGGUGGCUCAGAUGGCAAAGCGUCUGCCUACAAUGCGGGAGACCCGGGUUCAAUCCCUGGGUCGGGAA
Molecule: transfer RNA, 72 nt
Filed under: Bos taurus (domestic cattle)
Lineage: Eukaryota; Metazoa; Chordata; Mammalia; Artiodactyla; Bovidae
Also listed under: 5 other names
Rfam family: tRNA
About the family: Transfer RNA (tRNA) molecules are approximately 80 nucleotides in length.
Source: Rfam by way of RNAcentral